GGGAACGUAGCAUAAUCUGGUAGUGUCGUCGGCUCCAACCCGACUUAUCUGGGUUCAAAUCCCAGCGUUCUCA
This 73-nucleotide transfer RNA is filed under the name archaeon. Its description in RNAcentral is "tRNA-Trp". It matches the Rfam family "tRNA". Rfam says of the family: Transfer RNA (tRNA) molecules are approximately 80 nucleotides in length. Their secondary structure includes four short double-helical elements and three loops (D, anti-codon, and T loops). The record is from RNAcentral.